Molecule: ribosomal RNA, 492 nt
Filed under: uncultured bacterium
Lineage: Bacteria
Description: partial 16S ribosomal RNA
Rfam family: Bacterial small subunit ribosomal RNA
Source: RNAcentral
AGUGAACGCUGGCGGUAGGCCUAACACAUGCAAGUCGAACGGCAGCACAGUAAGAGCUUGCUCUUACGGGUGGCGAGUGGCGGACGGGUGAGGAAUACAUCGGAAUCUACUUUUUCGUGGGGGAUAACGUAGGGAAACUUACGCUAAUACCGCAUACGACCUACGGGUGAAAGCAGGGGAUCUUCGGACCUUGCGCGAUUGAAUGAGCCGAUGUCGCAUUAGCUAGUUGGCGGGGUAAAGGCCCACCAAGGCGACGAUCCGUAGCUGGUCUGAGAGGAUGAUCAGCCACACUGGAACUGAGACACGGUCCAGACUCCUACGGGAGGCAGCAGUGGGGAAUAUUGGGCAAUGGGCGCAAGCCUGAUCCAGCAAUACCGCGUGAGUGAAGAAGGCCUUCGGGUUGUAAAGCCCUUUUGUUGGGAAAGAAAAGCAGCAGGUUAAUACCCCGAUGUUCUGACGGUACCCAAAGAAUAAGCACCGGCUAACUUCGUG